RNAcentral lists this ribosomal RNA (503 nucleotides) under uncultured bacterium. RNAcentral describes it as "partial 16S ribosomal RNA". It matches the Rfam family "Bacterial small subunit ribosomal RNA", at positions 30 to 523 of the family's 1533-position model. The record is from RNAcentral.
AUUGAACGCUGGCGGCAGGCUUAACACAUGCAAGUCGAGCGGGGUGAUGGUGCUUGCACUAUCACUUAGCGGCGGACGGGUGAGUAAUGCUUAGGAAUCUGCCUAUUAGUGGGGGACAGCAUCUCGAAAGGGAUGCUAAUACCGCAUACGUCCUACGGGAGAAAGCAGGGGAUCACUUGUGACCUUGCGCUAAUAGAUGAGCCUAAGUCGGAUUAGCUGGUUGGUGGGGUAACGGCCUACCAAGGCGACGAUCUGUAGCGGGUCUGAGGGGAUGAUCCGCCACACUUGGACGGAAACACGGCCCAGACUCCGACGGGAGGCAGCAGUGGGGAAUAUUGGACAAUGGGGGGAACCCUGAUCCAGCCAUGCCGCGUGUGUGAAGAAGGCCUUAUGGUUGUACAGCACUUUAAGCGAGGAGGAGGCUCUUUUGGUUAAUACCCAAGAUGAGUGGACGUUACUCGCAGAAUAAGCACCGGCUAACUCUGUGCCAGCCGCCGCCGUAA